CGGUAAUACGUAGGGGGCAAGCGUUAUCCGGAAUUAUUGGGCGUAAAGGGUUCGCAGGCGGUUACACCUGUCGGGUGUGAAAGACCGAGGCUCAACCUCGGUAAGCACUUGAAACAGUGUAACUUGAGUUAAGGAGAGGAAAGUGGAAUUCCUAGUGUAGCGGUGAAAUGCGUAGAUAUUAGGAGGAAUACCAGUGGCGAAGGCGACUUUCUGGCCUUAAACUGACGCUGAGGAACGAAAGCGUGGGGAGCAAACAGGAUUAGAUACCNUGGUAGUCCCACGCCGUAAACGAUGAGUACUANGUGUCAGGUGUCAAAGCUUGGUGCCGCAGUUAACACAUUAANUACUCCGCCUGGGGAGUACNCUCGCAAGANUGAACUCAAGGAAUUGACGGGGACCCCACAAUUANCGAACAUGUGGUUUAUUC
This 427-nucleotide ribosomal RNA is filed under the name uncultured bacterium. RNAcentral's name for it is "bacterial SSU rRNA". It matches the Rfam family "Bacterial small subunit ribosomal RNA", at positions 518 to 951 of the family's 1533-position model. The record is from RNAcentral.